Molecule: ribosomal RNA, 436 nt
Filed under: uncultured Thiobacillus sp.
Lineage: Bacteria; Pseudomonadati; Pseudomonadota; Betaproteobacteria; Nitrosomonadales; Thiobacillaceae
Description: bacterial SSU rRNA
Rfam family: Bacterial small subunit ribosomal RNA
Source: RNAcentral
AUUAAUUCGAUGCAACGCGAAAAACCUUUACCUACCCUUGACAUGUCCGGAAUCCCGAAGAGAUUUGGAGUGCUCGCAAGAGAACCGGAACACAGGUGCUGCAUGGCUGUCGUCAGCUCGUGUCGUGAGAUGUUGGGUUAAGUCCCGCAACGAGCGCAACCCUUGUCAUUAGUUGCCAUCAUUUGGUUGGGCACUCUAAUGAGACUGCCGGUGACAAACCGGAGAAGUGGGGAUGACGUCAAGUCCUCAUGGCCCUUAUGGGUAGGGCUUCACACGUCAUACAAUGGUCGGUACAGAGGGUUGCCAAGCCGCGAGGCGGAGCCAAUCCCACAAAGCCGAUCGUAGUCCGGAUUGUUCUCUGCAACUCGAGAGCAUGAAGUCGGAAUCGCUAGUAAUCGCAGGUCAGCAUACUGCGGUGAAUACGUUCCCGGGUCUU